AAGUCGUAACAAGGUUUCCGUAGGUGAACCUGCGGAAGGAUCAUUAACACGUAUCCAAACGUUAACCCCCCUGUGAACCUUCAAUGUGCUCGUACACUUUGUCAAAGCGAGGCAAUCCCUGGUAAAUCAUCGCCGAACAGUUUUGAUUCUGGGACUUCCUCAAAGAGUGUGCAUGUUGCGCGAGGCAAGUGGCCUGGCAUUCCCAAGCAGUUAAUGUCUGAAAGUGUCAUUAGCUGUGUAAGGAUGACGCAGUAACGAUCGUUGGUUAUCACCACUUAAUGCAUGACAGACGCGCCAGCGCUUAAUUGUGCGGCGACCAAAAACCGAACAACUGUUAACAAUGGAUAUCUUGGUUCUC
This 358-nucleotide unclassified non-coding RNA is filed under the name fungal sp. RNAcentral describes it as "partial internal transcribed spacer region". The stretch from base 1 to 46 matches the Rfam family "Eukaryotic small subunit ribosomal RNA", at positions 1786 to 1831 of the family's 1831-position model. The record is from RNAcentral. Lineage: Eukaryota; Fungi.